AUCCUGGCUCAGAUUGAACGCUGGCGGCAUGCCUUACACAUGCAAGUCGAACGGCAGCACGGGGGCAACCCUGGUGGCGAGUGGCGAACGGGUGAGUAAUACAUCGGAACGUGCCCUGAAGUGGGGGAUAACGUAGCGAAAGUUACGCUAAUACCGCAUAUUCUGUGAGCAGGAAAGCAGGGGACCGCAAGGCCUUGUGCUUUAGGAGCGGCCGAUGUCGGAUUAGCUAGUUGGUGAGGUAAAGGCUCACCAAGGCGACGAUCCGUAGCGGGUCUGAGAGGAUGAUCCGCCACACUGGGACUGAGACACGGCCCAGACUCCUACGGGAGGCAGCAGUGGGGAAUUUUGGACAAUGGGCGCAAGCCUGAUCCAGCCAUGCCGCGUGAGUGAAGAAGGCCUUCGGGUUGUAAAGCUCUUUCGGCGGGGAAGAAAUGGCACUUUCUAAUACAGAGUGUUGAUGACGGUACCCGCAUAAGAAGCACCGGCUAACUACGUG
This 496-nucleotide ribosomal RNA is filed under the name uncultured Rhodocyclaceae bacterium. Its description in RNAcentral is "bacterial SSU rRNA". It matches the Rfam family "Bacterial small subunit ribosomal RNA", at positions 16 to 507 of the family's 1533-position model. Lineage: Bacteria; Pseudomonadati; Pseudomonadota; Betaproteobacteria; Rhodocyclales; Rhodocyclaceae. The record is from RNAcentral.